This 66-nucleotide transfer RNA is filed under the name Baeotus beotus. RNAcentral's name for it is "tRNA-Asp". Lineage: Eukaryota; Metazoa; Arthropoda; Insecta; Lepidoptera; Nymphalidae. The record is from RNAcentral.
AAGAAUUAGUUAAUAUUAUAACAUAAAUAUGUCAAAUUUAUAUAAUUACCUAUGUAAUAUUCUUUU